GGCUUACCAAGGCGAUGAUGCAUAGCCGAGUUGAGAGACUGAUCGGCCACAAUGGAACUGAGACACGGUCCAUACUCCUACGGGAGGCAGCAGUAGGGAAUCUUCCACAAUGGGCGCAAGCCUGAUGGAGCAACACCGCGUGAGUGAAGAAGGGUUUCGGCUCGUAAAGCUCUGUUGUUGGAGAAGAACGUGCGUGAGAGUAACUGUUCACGCAGUGACGGUAUCCAACCAGAAAGUCACGGCUAACUACGUGCCAGCAGCCGCGGUAAUACGUAGGUGGCAAGCGUUAUCCGGAUUUAUUGGGCGUAAAGCGAGCGCAGGCGGUUGCUUAGGUCUGAUGUGAAAGCCUUCGGCUUAACCGAAGAAGUGCAUCGGAAACCGGGCGACUUGAGUGCAGAAGAGGACAGUGGAACUCCAUGUGUAGCGGUGGAAUGCGUAGAUAUAUGGAAGAACACCAGUGGCGAAGGCGGCUGUCUGGUCUGCAACUGACGCUGAGGCUCGAAAGCAUGGGUAGCGAACAGGAUUAGAUACCCUGGUAGUCCAUGCCGUA
Molecule: ribosomal RNA, 550 nt
Filed under: Limosilactobacillus reuteri
Lineage: Bacteria; Bacillati; Bacillota; Bacilli; Lactobacillales; Lactobacillaceae
Description: bacterial SSU rRNA
Rfam family: Bacterial small subunit ribosomal RNA
Source: RNAcentral